GGGGAUGUAGCUCAGAUGAUAGAGCACUCGCUUAGCAUGUGAGAGGUACGGGGAUUGAUACCCUGCAUCUCCA
This 73-nucleotide transfer RNA is filed under the name Ipomoea nil (Japanese morning glory). It matches the Rfam family "tRNA". Rfam says of the family: Transfer RNA (tRNA) molecules are approximately 80 nucleotides in length. Their secondary structure includes four short double-helical elements and three loops (D, anti-codon, and T loops). Lineage: Eukaryota; Viridiplantae; Streptophyta; Magnoliopsida; Solanales; Convolvulaceae. The record is from Rfam by way of RNAcentral.